Molecule: transfer RNA, 40 nt
Filed under: Praezygaena agria
Lineage: Eukaryota; Metazoa; Arthropoda; Insecta; Lepidoptera; Zygaenidae
Description: partial transfer RNA-Ser
Source: RNAcentral
AAAACUUAAAAAAGAAUAAUUAAAUAUAUUCUAUUAAUUU